GCUGAUCGCUAUCUUUUUUUUGCCUCCUCCGGUGGCGUCGCCCCCGGCUUCCUACCCCCUUAUAUGGAGCUACACCAGCCUUUAUGAGAACCUCCAUCAAAGUACCGAAGUUUUUAUGAUGUUCAAUCUCCAUGGUCACCAUCCAAAGGAUGAUGGCUCUAGAAUUGAUUCCAAUAUGAUUUCAUUUGAAAAUUACUGAGCAGCUUUCACCUGAUGGUUUGAGAAAAUAAGAUCGUAGAAACCAGAUUCAACCCCACCAACUUUAACAAAAUUAUGGCUCUUAAAUCCUAGCUCACCAAGAUCAGAGUAUCUAACUCAAUUAACCUUAACUUGCUCAUAAUUACCUGGCUUGGACUCAUCCUCAAUGAUUAAAACCUUGGAUUCAAGCUAUGUAAGGGAUGGAUGUCUAUCCUCGGAAGUAAUACAAUAUGGAGACCUCUUUUGCUUAUCUUUUUUGCUAUCAUAUCCACCUACAUAUGUCUCAACAUAUUGAGCAUCAAUAACCUUCAUCACUUGCCCCUCCAUAUCAACCUCCAA
RNAcentral lists this long non-coding RNA (537 nucleotides) under Elaeis guineensis (African oil palm). Its description in RNAcentral is "long non-coding RNA (EGUI_LNC048652)". Lineage: Eukaryota; Viridiplantae; Streptophyta; Magnoliopsida; Arecales; Arecaceae. The record is from RNAcentral.